GACAUAGGUGGCGAACGUUAUCCGGAAUUAUUGGGCGUAAAGGAUGCGUAGAUGGCGUAACAAGUUAUCGGUGGUAAAUUGGGGCCUAACCUCAUGGAAGCCGUUAAUACUAUUAUGCUAGAGUUAAGGAGAAGUUAAUGGAACUCCAUGUGAAGCGGUAAAAUGCGACGAUAUAUGGAAGAACACCGAUAAGGCGAAGGCAGUUAACUAUUCUGUUACUGACAUUGAGGCAUGAAAGCGUGGGGAGCAAAACGG
RNAcentral lists this ribosomal RNA (255 nucleotides) under uncultured bacterium. RNAcentral describes it as "partial 16S ribosomal RNA". It matches the Rfam family "Bacterial small subunit ribosomal RNA", at positions 524 to 776 of the family's 1533-position model. The record is from RNAcentral.